RNAcentral lists this RNase P RNA (327 nucleotides) under Catagonus wagneri (Chacoan peccary). Its description in RNAcentral is "Nuclear RNase P (ENSCWAG00000021087.1)". It matches the Rfam family "Nuclear RNase P". From Rfam's summary of the family: Ribonuclease P (RNase P) is a ubiquitous endoribonuclease, found in archaea, bacteria and eukarya as well as chloroplasts and mitochondria. Its best characterised activity is the generation of mature 5'-ends of tRNAs by cleaving the 5'-leader elements of precursor-tRNAs. Cellular RNase Ps are ribonucleoproteins. The record is from RNAcentral. Lineage: Eukaryota; Metazoa; Chordata; Mammalia; Artiodactyla; Tayassuidae.
GGCAAAGGGGAGCUGCUCAUUGGUCGCUUCACCCAGUGUCCCUUGGGAAAGUCUGAGACUAGAGCCAAAAGCGGCCCUAAUGGGGAAGUGAGUUCCCAGAAGCACAGGUGACACUCCGGACUUGUGACUCGCAUCUGAAUUGCCCGGGGAGGGGGACAGUCUCAUGAGACCCAACCUAUGGGAUUGGAUGCUAUCUCCAGGUACAUGGUGUCAGACUGAGCCAACUGCCUCGGGAGUCGGCCCCUCCCCCAACACACACUGGAAUUGGGUUCAGAACUUUUUCACUGUUAGUGCAAAAAAAGAGGAAACCCAAGGUCCCCUCCUGCU